CGGGGCCGCACAAGCAGCGAGGUAUGUGGUUUAAUUCGAGGCUACACGAAGAACCUUACAGGGUUUGACAUGCAAGUGGUAGGAAUCCGAAAGGUGACCGACCCUUCGGGGAGCUUGCACAGGUGCUGCAUGGCUGUCGUCAGCUCGUGUCGUGAGAUGUUCGGUUAAGUCCGCUAACGAGCGCAACCCUCGUCGUGUGUUAUACGUGUCACACGAUACUGCCGGUAUCAAGCCGGAGGAAGGUGGGGAUGAUGUCAAGUCAGCAUGGCCUUUAUAUCCUGGGCUACACACACGCUACAAUGGCAGAUACAAUAGGUUGCGAAACCGCGAGGUGGAGCCAAUCCUCAAAGUCUGUCUCAGUUCAGAUUGUAGGCUGCAACUCGCCUGCAUGAAGUUGGAGUUGCUAGUAAACGCAGGUCAGCUAUACUGCGUUGAAUACGUCCCGGGGUUU
RNAcentral lists this ribosomal RNA (451 nucleotides) under uncultured Leptolinea sp. RNAcentral describes it as "bacterial SSU rRNA". It matches the Rfam family "Bacterial small subunit ribosomal RNA", at positions 921 to 1377 of the family's 1533-position model. Lineage: Bacteria; Bacillati; Chloroflexota; Anaerolineae; Anaerolineales; Anaerolineaceae. The record is from RNAcentral.